RNAcentral lists this long non-coding RNA (3913 nucleotides) under Triticum aestivum (bread wheat). Its description in RNAcentral is "long non-coding RNA (TAES_LNC028121)". The record is from RNAcentral. Lineage: Eukaryota; Viridiplantae; Streptophyta; Magnoliopsida; Poales; Poaceae.
UUUCUUAUAUGGCCUGAGCCUGACACACUAUUCUAGCUAGACAUGGGUGUGGCUCGUAACACCUGAUGACCAAACGGAUCUACGGCACCAUCAAAUCUCAAACUUUAACUGCCAAAACUAUUCUUUUUCAUUCUGUAGUCCCUUCUAGAAUUACUAAACGUCCUUUUUUGGGCCGAGAUUUCCAGGAACGCUUUCUCGGGGUUUGUGUGCAUGUAUUUCAAACCAUACAGACCUAAAAAUUAUAAGUCAUUCCAUCUUUAUUCCCGUAGAGCCUUCCAGUAGUUCCUAAACCGCUCCAGUCGGAGCAUGUUAUCAUUCUUGUUAGUUCUAAGUGAAUUCCCUCGGUAUGAUAAUUCUUUCAUCAGUUUGUUCCCCGUUUCUUCUCUAGCCUGAGCCUGGCACACUAGUCUAGCUAGACAUGGGUGUGGCUCGUAACACCCGAUGACUAAAUGGAUCGACGGCACCAUCGAAUCUCAAACUUUAACUGCCAAAACUAUUGUUUUUCAUCCUGUAGUCCCAUUUAGAAUUACUAAACGUCCUUUUUUGGGCCGAGAUUUAGAGGAACGCUUUCUCGUGGUUUGUGUGCAAGAAUUUCAAACCAUACGGACCUAAAAAUUAGAAGUCAUUCCAUCUUUAUUCCCCUAGAGCCUUCCAGUAGUUCCUAAACCGCUCUAGUCGGAGCACGUUAUCAUUCUUGUUAGUUCUGAGAGAAUUCCCUCGGUAUGAUAAUUCUUUUAUCAGUUUGUUCCCCGUUUCUUCUCUAGCCUGAGCCCGACACACUAUUCUAGCUAGACAUGGGUGUGGCUCGUAACACCUGAUGACCAAACGGAUCUACGGCACCAUCGAAUCUCAAACUUUAACUGCCAAAACUAUUGUUUUUCAUCCUGUAGUCCCUUUUAGAAUUACUAAAUGUCCUUUUUUGGGCCGAGAUUUCCAGGAACGCUUUCUCAGGGUUUGUGUGCAAGUAAUUCAAACCAUACGGACCUAAAAAUUAGAAGUCAUUCCAUCUUUAUUCCCCUAGAGCCUUCCAGCAGUUCCUAAACCGCUCAAGUCAGUGCACGUUAUCAUUCUUGUUAGUUCUAAGUGAAUUCCCUCGGUAUGAUAAUUUGUUCAUCAGUUUGUUCCCCGUUUCUUCUCUAGCCUGAGCCUGACACACUAUUCUAGCUAGACAUGGGUGUGGCUCGUAACACCUGAUGACCAAACGGAUCUACGACACCAUCGAAUCUCAAACUUUAACUACCAAAACUAUUGUUUUUCAUCCUCUAGUCCCUUUUAGAAUUACUAAACGUCCUUUUUUGGGCCGAGAUUUCCAGGAACGCUUUCUCGGGGUUUGUGUGCAUGUAUUUCAAACCAUACAGACCUAAAAAUUAGAAGUCAUUCCAUCUUUAUUCCCGUAGAGCCUUCCAGCAGUUCCUAAACCGCUCCAGUCGGAGCAUGUUAUCAUUCUUGUUUGUUCUGAGUGAAUUCCCUCGGUAUGAUAAUUCUAUCAUCAGUUUGUUCCCCGUUUCUUCUCUAGCCUGAGCCUGGCAAACUAUUCUAGCUAGACAUGGGUGUGGCUCGUAACACCUGAUGACCAAACGGAUCUACGACACCAUCGAAUCUCAAACUUUAACUACCAAAACUAUUGUUUUUCAUUCUAUAGUCCCUUCUAGAAUUUCUAAACGUCCUUUUUUGGGCCGAGAUUUCCAGGAAUGCUUUCUCGGGGUUUGUGUGCAAGUAUUUCAAAUCAUACGGACCUAAAAAUUAGAAGUCAUUCCAUCUUUAUUCCCCUAGAGCCUUCCAGUAGUUCCUAAACCGCUCCAGUCGGAGCACGUUAUCAUUCUUGUUAGUUCAUAGUGAAUUCCCUCGGUAUGAUAAUUCUUUCAUCAGUUUGUUCCCCGUUUCUUCUCUAGCCUGAGCCUGGCACAGUAUUCUAGCUAGACAUGGGUGUGGUCGUAACACCUGAUGACUAAAUGGAUCGACGGCACCAUCGAAUCUCAAACUUUAACUGCCAAAACUAUUGUUUUUCAUCCUGUAAUCCCAUUUAGAAUUACUAAACGUCCUUUUUUGGGCCGAGAUUUAGAGGAACGCUUUGUUGGGGUUUGUGUGCAAGUAUUUCAAACCAUACGGACCUAAAAAUUAGAACUCAUUCCAUAUUUAUUCCCCUUGAGCCUUCCAGCAGUUCCUAAACCGCUCUAGUCGGAGCACGUUAUCAUUCUUGUUAGUUCUAAGAGAAUUCCCUCGGUAUGAUAAUUCUUUUAUCAGUUUGUUCCCCGUUUCUUCUCUAGACUGGGCCCGACACACUAUUCUAGCUAGACAUGGGUGUGGCUCGUAACACCUGAUGACCAAACGGAUCUACGGCACCAUCGAAUCUCAAACUUCAACUGCCAAAACUAUUGUUUUUCAUCCUGUAGUCCCUUUUAGAAUUACUAAACGUCCUUUUUUGGGCCGAGAUUUCCAGGAACGCUUUCUCGGGGUUUGUGUGCAAGUAUUUCAAACCAUACGGACCUAAAAAUUAGAAGUCAUUCCAUCUUUAUUCCCGUAGAGCCAUCCAGCAGUUCCUAAACCGCUCCAGUCGGAGCACGUUAUCAUUCUUGUUAGUUCUGAGUGAAUUCCCUCGGUAUGAUAAUUCUUUCAUCAGUUUGUUCCCCGUUUCUUCUCUAGCCUGAGCCUGACAAACUAUUAUAGCUAGACAUGGGUGUGGCUCGUAACACCUGAUGACCAAACGGAUCUAUGGCACCAUCGAAUCUCAAACUUUAACUGCCAAAACUAUUGUUUUUCAUCCUGUAGUCCCUUUUAGAAUUACUAAACGCCCUUCUUUGGGACGAGAUUUCCAGGAACGCUUUCUCGGGGUUUGUGUGAAAGUAAUUCAAACCAUACGGACCUAAAAAUUAGAAGUCAUUCCAUCUUUAUUCCCGUGGAGCCUUCCAGUAGUUCCUAAACCGCUCCAGUCGGAGCACGUUAUCAUUCUUGUUAGUUCUGAGUGAAUUCCCUCGGUAUGAUAAUUCUUUCAUCAGUUUGUUCCCUGUUUCUUCUCUAGCCUGAGCCUGGCACACUAUUCUAGCUAGACAUGGGUGUGGCUCGUAACACCUGAUGACUAAACUGAUCAAUGACACCAUCGAAUCUCAAACUUUAACUGCCAAAACUAUUGUUUUUCAUCCUGUAGUCCCAUUUAGAAUUACUAAACGUCCUUUUUUGGGCCGAGAUUUCCAGGAACGCUUACUCGGGGUUUGUGUGCAAGUAUUUCAAACCAUACUGACCUAAAAAUUAGAAGUCAAUCCAUCUUUAUUCCCCUAGAGCCUUCCAGCAGUUCCUAAACCGCUCCAGUCGGAGCACGUUAUCAUUCUUGUUAGUUCUGAGUGAAUUCCCUCGGUAUGAUAAUUCUUUCAUCAGUUUGUUCCUUGUUUCUUCUCUAGCCUGAACCUGACACACUAUUCUAGCUAGACAUGGGUGUGGCUCGUAACACCUGAUGACCAAACGGAUCUACGGCACCAUCGAAUCUCAAACUUUAACUGCCAAAACUAUUAUUUUUAAUCCUCUAGUCCCAUUUAGAAUUACUAAACGUCCUUUUUUGGGCCGAGAUUUAGAGGAACGCUUUCAUGCGGUUUGUGUGCAAGUAUUUCAAACCAUACGGACCUAAAAAUUAGAAGUCAUUCCAUCUUUAUUCCCCUAGAGCCUUCCAGCAGUUCCUAAACCGCUCCAGUCGGAGCAUGUUAUCAUUCUUGUUAGUUCUGAGUGAAUUCCCUCGGUAUGAUAAUUCUUUCAUCAGUUUGUGGCCCGUUUCUUCUCUAGCCUGAGCCUGACACACUAUUCUAGCUAGACGUGGGUGUGGCUCGUAACACCUGAUGACCAAACGGAUCUACGGCACCAUCGAAUCUCAAACUUUAAGUGCCAAAACUAUUAUUUUUAAUCCUGUAGUCCCAUUUAGAAUUAC